GGUUGGGCGGUUCAACAAGGAAAAAAAAACAUCCAACCAAUUAUUAAACGCCAUUUGAUAUUGCCAAUUUGAAUUACUUCCUUCAUUAAAUAAAUUCGCUCAUUUCCCAAAAUUCUAUAUUGUUAGCCGUUCAAGAUUGCAAUUUAUCUUUUUUUUUAAAAAAAUAUGUGAAAAAUCAAUUUCCUGUGAUUAGGUUUUGAGGGACGGAUGUCAAAUGCAAGCUUGAAUCGCAUUUGUAAUGAUGAGAACAAUUCAAUGUUGUUUUUAACAAUGCGAUACAAACAUGGAGACUUGAUGCAAUUGCAGAUUUUGUGGUCUGAGGACAACCCAGCUAAAAGAUUUUGGUCCUGUUCAUGCUUUCGUGAAAAUUAUGCAAGUACAUUAGAUGGAGGAAUCAUGAGGAGAUUGACAUGCGAUCCAAGUCCGUUAUUUCAAGAUUGGCGAAUAGAAUUAAGGAAUUGAAAGAAGCAUUACAAUUCUGUAAGAUUAAAGAAAAGAAGAUGAAAUUGUUGUAGAAGAAAAGUGAUCAAGUAUGUCAUGAUAAGCUAAUCAAGAAGAAGAAGAUGAUGAAAUGUAGCAUCUUGAAUUAGAAGCUUAUCAUAGUGUUUGUCGUAGUAUAUUUUUUAGGAAUUAAUAAAAAUGUUAACUUUUUGGGUUUCUUCAUUUUAGUCGAAUACUGUUGUGGGUUUCCCAUCGAGUUUUUUUUA
Molecule: long non-coding RNA, 707 nt
Organism: Solanum lycopersicum (tomato)
Lineage: Eukaryota; Viridiplantae; Streptophyta; Magnoliopsida; Solanales; Solanaceae
Source: RefSeq, a predicted model, not a curated record